Transfer RNA from Camelus ferus (Wild Bactrian camel), 72 nucleotides. It matches the Rfam family "tRNA". Rfam says of the family: Transfer RNA (tRNA) molecules are approximately 80 nucleotides in length. Their secondary structure includes four short double-helical elements and three loops (D, anti-codon, and T loops). NCBI's taxonomy places the organism in Eukaryota, Metazoa, Chordata, Mammalia, Artiodactyla, Camelidae. The record is from Rfam.
GAGGGUAUAGCUCAGUGGUAGAGCACAUGCUUAGCAUGCACAAGGUCCUGGGCUCAAUCCGCAGUACCUCCA